This 497-nucleotide ribosomal RNA is filed under the name uncultured bacterium. Its description in RNAcentral is "partial 16S ribosomal RNA". It matches the Rfam family "Bacterial small subunit ribosomal RNA", at positions 28 to 507 of the family's 1533-position model. The record is from RNAcentral.
GAUGAACGCUGGCGGCGUGCCUAAUACAUGCGAGUCGAGCGAACAGACGAGGAGCUUGCUCCUCUGACGUUAGCGGCGGACGGGUGAGUAACACGUGGAUAACCUACCUAUAAGACUGGGAUAACUUCGGGAAACCGGAGCUAAUACCGGAUAAUAUAUUGAACCGCAUGGUUCAAUAGUGAAAGACGGUUUUGCUGUCACUUAUAGAUGGAUCCGCGCCGCAUUAGCUAAUUGGUAAGGUAACGGCUUACCAAGGCGACGAUGCGUAGCCGACCUGAGAGGGUGAUCGGCCACACUGGAACUGAGACACGGUCCAGACUCCUACGGGAGGCAGCAGUAGGGAAUCUUCCGCAAUGGGCGAAAGCCUGACGGAGCAACGCCGCGUGAGUGAUGAAGGUCUUCGGAUCGUAAAACUCUGUUAUUAGGGAAGAACAAAUGUGUAAGUAACUAUGCACGUCUUGACGGUACCUAAUCAGAAAGCCACGGCUAACUACGUG